RNAcentral lists this ribosomal RNA (720 nucleotides) under uncultured anaerobic ammonium-oxidizing bacterium. Its description in RNAcentral is "bacterial SSU rRNA". It matches the Rfam family "Bacterial small subunit ribosomal RNA", at positions 565 to 1274 of the family's 1533-position model. The record is from RNAcentral.
GAGCACGUAGGUGGGUUUGUAAGUCAGGUGUGAAAGCCUUCUGUUCAACGGAAGAAUUGCAUCUGAAACUGCGAGUCUUGAGUGUAGGAGGGGAGAAUGGAACUUCUGGUGGAGCGGUGAAAUGCGUAGAUAUCAGAAGGAACGCCGGCGGCGAAAGCGAUUCUCUGGCCUAUUACUGACACUCAGUGUGCGAAAGCUAGGGGAGCAAACGGGAUUAGAUACCCCGGUAGUCCUAGCCGUAAACGAUGGGCACUAAGUAGAGGGAAUUACCGAUGUUCUCUCUGCCGUAGCUAACGCAUUAAGUGCCCCGCCUGGGGAGUACGGCCGCAAGGCUAAAGCUCAAAAGAAUUGACGGGGGCUCGCACAAGCGGUGGAGCAUGUGGCUUAAUUCGAUGCAACGCGAAAAACCUUACCGGGGCUUGACAUGGUAGAAGUAGGAACCCGAAAGGGUAACGAACGGUAUCCAGUCCGUAGCUAUUACAGGUGUUGCAUGGCUGUCGUCAGCUCGUGUCGUGAGACGUUGGAUUAAGUCCCCUAACGAGCGAAACCCUUGUUUUUAGUUACCAGCGGGUUAUGCCGGGUACUCUAGAAAGACUGCCGUCGUCAAGACGGAGGAAGGUGGGGAUGACGUCAAGUCAUCAUGGCCCUUAUGCCCCGGGCUGCACACGUGCUACAAUGGUCGGUACAAACGGAUGCGAAGCCGAGAGGUGAAGCGAAUCC